RNAcentral lists this ribosomal RNA (429 nucleotides) under uncultured Lactobacillus sp. Its description in RNAcentral is "bacterial SSU rRNA". It matches the Rfam family "Bacterial small subunit ribosomal RNA", at positions 355 to 776 of the family's 1533-position model. Lineage: Bacteria; Bacillati; Bacillota; Bacilli; Lactobacillales; Lactobacillaceae. The record is from RNAcentral.
UAGGGAAUCUUCCACAAUGGGCGCAAGCCUGAUGGAGCAACACCGCGUGAGUGAAGAAGGGUUUCGGCUCGUAAAACUCUGUUGUUGAAGAAGAACGUGCGUGAGAGUAACUGUUCACGCAGUGACGGUAUUCAACCAGAAAGUCACGGCUAACUACGUGCCAGCAGCCGCGGUAAUACGUAGGUGGCAAGCGUUAUCCGGAUUUAUUGGGCGUAAAGCGAGCGCAGGCGGUUACUUAAGUCUGAUGUGAAAGCCUUCGGCUUAACCGAAGAAGUGCAUCGGAAACUGGGUGACUUGAGUGCAGAAGAGGACAGUGGAACUCCAUGUGUAGCGGUGGAAUGCGUAGAUAUAUGGAAGAACACCAGUGGCGAAGGCGGCUGUCUGGUCUGCAACUGACGCUGAGGCUCGAAAGCAUGGGUAGCGAACAGG